GUUUAUUUUAUUUAGCUAACACUAACAUGUGUACUUAAUGGUCACAGAUUAUAUUACAGUAGGGGUAGGUACAGUAAUUGCACUAGUUAUAUAAUGGAUGUAUGCGCUAUUUAUGUAGCAUUAACAGACGUACUUACAUUAAAGUGCAGUGAAUGUACUAGUUAUAGUUGUGAUGGCUGAGAUACAAUAGAUAUGUAGACAUUAUGAAAGAUGGUUAAAGUCUGAUUAUGGCUCUCAAAAGGCUUUCUCCAUUGAUGACUUGUGAACAAUUUUCUCUUUCAAUGUUCAUGCCUGCAUUAUCACAUCCAAAAACAGGCUACAGGUACUCACUGGGGUCAAAGCAACUUUAUUGGGCUUUAUUGGAUCAUCACAUACAGAACAGCAUUUGGACUUUAACAAAGGUCUUUGUUUAGGUCAAAACGUUACGCUGUAUGUGGUGAUAUAAUAACAUUGCUUAGCACCUUGAUCCAAGUGAGUGCCUGAAGCUCUCUGGAUGCAACAUUUGGAAGAGAUUUGUUGGUCCUGCUUCAGUUCAGCACCGUGUGGCCAGGGCCAGACUAAAAGCCCUUUGGGCCUGGUG
Molecule: non-coding RNA, 580 nt
Organism: Pelobates cultripes (western spadefoot toad)
Lineage: Eukaryota; Metazoa; Chordata; Amphibia; Anura; Pelobatidae
Source: the annotation of a GenBank genome assembly